CGACUGCAGAGAGCGCAGCUGUUUAUACAUAACCGGCUGGGUCGCGAAAUUCGAUUUUAUAUUAGAAAUUAUUUUGGAACUAUUCGGAUACGUUUCGGGAAACUGGAAAUAUGUAAAUCGACCCGAAAGCAAGCCGUGUUUUUUCUUUACUUUUGAGUUUGUGAGUUUUUGUAGUGAAAAAACCAGAUACAUAUGUAUGUAUGUAUGUAUUUGCGCCUCUUUAGUCAAUAAAUAUUAAUGCACAUUGAGCAGUUGGACGGGCAUGAAUUAGAAAGCAUUAUUUAUUGCAAUCAUCUGCAGUGCGAAUCAAAACAAAAUCGGAAGCGCUCCGAGAGUGAGAAAGAGGAGAGUGAGAAAAGCAGUGAAAACGAAAUAACAGCCGGCUGAUUUGUUGCGGAAAGGAAUACGAAGAGAGAAGAAGAAAAACGUCAAGAAACAUUACAGCUGAAAAAGGAACCUGGCUAAGUAGCAUGUAUGCCAGGAUCAAAAUAGUGAAUAUAGCAUCAUAAUGAGCAUCCGCACGGAGCAGGAUUACGACAGUGCCACUCCGGCGCUGCAACAGCAAAUGAAUUUGGCCCGAAGAGCCUGCUGGAGGAUCAAAUCCUCCAGCUCGGAAUCCCUCUUCAAAAAUAUAGUUUCUGCAAAAACAGAUACAGAUACAGUACCACCACCACCAUCAAAAGAUAAAAACAAAACGAGAAUAGAGCCACAGACAGCGCCCGCGAAACGCAACACAUCCUCCAACUGGCGGGAUAUGUUCAGCAAGAGGAUGCUGCUUAUUUGCGCCCUAGUCCUGAUCCUUGGAAUUUCCCAGGCCCAGGCCCGGCCCAACACGAUUGCUGUGGGAGUAGCUCCGGGAAAGGUCAGCCAAGAUAUUCUAAAUCCGGUCACCCAGCUAAAUCUGCGCCAGUCGACGCCCGUGGAUGCGGUAGAUGUGAGCCUGGAUCCAACGCCAUCGGUGAGGUUGCCACGUGCCGAGCCAUUGAAAUCCGGUGACCAGGAUGCCGGCGAGAGCCACAAAAUGGAGCGGUAUCCCCUCUCCAGUGUGGACUUUGCUCGGGUAAAGACGCCGUUCAUCAUCGGAAUCUGGAUCCUGUCGGCUAGUAUAGCUAAAAUCGGUUUCCAUAUGACGCCCAAGCUGCAUCUAAUAUUUCCGGAAUCGUGCCUCCUAAUUGUCGUGGGCGUGGUAAUUGGCGUGGUGCUCUAUUUCUGCACCGAUGUUGCCGUCUCCCCGCUGACUCCCAAUACCUUCUUCUUCUACAUGCUGCCACCGAUUAUCCUGGACGCAGGCUACUUUAUGCCCAAUAGAUUGUUCUUCGACAACCUGGGCACCAUCCUGCUGAUGGCGGUGGUCGGAACCAUCUUCAACAUAGCCACCAUCGGUGGCUCGUUGUACGCCUGCGGAAAGAUGGGAAUUUACGGGGAAAGCGAGACUCCGGGUCUAAUGGACGUGUUUCUAUUUGCCUCACUGAUAUCUGCUGUGGAUCCGGUGGCCGUUUUGGCCGUAUUCGAGGAGAUACAUGUGAAUGAGAUCCUGUAUAUUGUCGUCUUUGGCGAGUCCUUGCUGAACGAUGCUGUCACGGUUGUGAUGUACCACAUGAUGGAGUCCUACAAUGAGAUAGGCUUAGACAAAAUCAUCGCCCAGGACAUCGCCAGCGGCGUGGGUUCCUUUUUUGUGGUUGCACUGGGUGGCACUGCCAUAGGCAUCAUCUGGGGCUUUCUCACUGGCUUAGUAACCCGAUUCACCGAUCACGUGCGUGUCAUAGAACCCAUUUUCAUAUUUGUGAUGGCGUACUUGGCGUAUCUUAAUGCGGAAAUAUUCCACAUGAGCGGCAUUUUAGCCAUCACUUUCUGUGGUAUCACAAUGAAAAACUAUGUGGAAUCGAAUAUUUCACAAAAGUCGCAUACGACUGUUAAAUAUGCCUUAAAGAUGUUAUCCAGUUCGGCGGAGACCAUUAUAUUUAUGUUCCUAGGCGUGGCCACUGUGAACAACAUGCACGUAUGGAAUACGUGGUUUGUGGUAUUGACCAUUGCCUUCUGUUCAGUUUUUCGUGUAAUUGGUGUCAUUUUGCUAUCGGCCCUUGCCAAUCGCUUCCGUCUGCACAAAUUGUCCCGGGUGGAUCAGUUUGUGAUGUCGUACGGAGGAUUGCGUGGUGCAGUGGCCUUUGCCCUAGUACUGUUAGUGGACGAGAAUGUGGUCAAGCAGAAGAACAUGUUUGUUACCACAACGAUAGCUGUGAUUUACUUUACUGUCUUCCUGCAAGGAAUCACUAUUAAGCCGCUGGUGAAAAUCCUUAAUGUGAAGCGCGCUAAUAAACGCAAGCCAACCAUGAACGAGCGAAUUCAUGAAAGGUUCAUGGAUCACUUGAUGGCUGGAAUUGAGGAUAUAGUGGGCAAAACGGGCAACUACAAUGUGCGGGAUAAGUUCAAGCGUUUCGACAAUCGCUUCAUUCGUCCGCUGCUGAUCAGAGAUCUUAAGGGAGCUGAGCCAAAGAUCAUCGAGACGUACUCCAAACUGACAAUGCGCGAUGCCAUGGAAGUCAUGAGGCGAAAUCCAUCCACUAUUGGCCAGAUGACGGGAACCGAGUCUAUGAGCGCCCUUUUCCGGAAUUAUACCAAUAACUAUAUUGGCGGCAGUCCCAGUCUAACAAAUCUAGACAAUACUUGCUCACGUAAUCUGGACAUGGCUGAGCUGGAUUAUAAUCCCUCUAAGAAGGAUCUGACCGAUGCCAGGAUACAUCAUCUUUUGGCCGAAGAACUGAAGCCUUAUAGAAGGCACCGUCGUCUUAGUUAUAGCCGACACGCAGUAGAUGACAGAGACUUGUCCACUCAGGUCAAUUACAAGAUGCAAAUGAACUUCAGGCGCAUGUUUAAUGAUCGAAAACAUCACAAACGCAGCAAACGUGGUGCCAGCAACAAGGAGGCCAAGGAGAACGUUAAGCAGAAUCACGUCUCUUUCCAUGACUUUCAACAAAACGGCACCACUAAGCAGCUGACCAAUGCAGAAGAGUGCCAACAGAAUCCCAACGAGAUCAAUGUUGUUGGCCCGAGCGACGAUUGGGAUGAUGGCCUGACGUUCACCGCCAAAUCAUCACCUGACUCGGACCGUGCCAAUAACAAUUCCCUGAUAGCCCACAUCCAAAACCUGCCGGGUUUCGAUGCCUCCAAGGCCCGUAUCGUCGUCCAGCACUAUGCGCCCAGGGCCGACGACUAUCCGGACACAGAUCUAGAGUCCCCGGAACAGGCCAUUGGGCCCACGGCCGCCGAAUUGAUAUUGCCGUGGCGGCGGGAUCGUUCAUACCAGAGCAUUGUGGCCGAACAUCCCAUUCCCGAGGAGGAUCGUAAUCUGUCCCGCGAAUCCGACGGAGAAAGGCGUGUGGCCACGCCCACCGCCACGGAAUCCCAGUUGCCUUGGAAACGGCAGGGUGACGAAUGCACGGAUGCAGUGCAGCAGAACGAGUUCCCCGCUUGGGCCUCCAACAAGGAGUACUUGGCCUACAAUUCCCCCAGUGCAACAUUCCUAGGUGGUAUAAACAAGCCUAAACAGCCAAAGUCCGUCAUAGGUCUCUUCCGACGUGAGAGUUCUAGCUCGAAGGCCGGGAGCGUUGGCAUCGGCAGCACAGGAGCCAUGGACUCUGCCGCCACUGGCUCCGACACGAUGAUGGUGCCCAUGUCCAGCCAGCCGCCCAACACUCCAUCGUCGUCCAUGCACAAUCCGCGGCUGGACAAGCGCUCCCAGUCGAUUUCGUCCAGUUCUCUGGGCGCUGGAGCGCAUCAGCUAGGUCCGGAGGGUCAUUCCGGCCCAUUUCCGAUUACGGCCAGUCACCGGCGGAACGUACGCAGGGGCUCCAUGCUUGAGCUAAGCGGACUCAUUGCAACUGGACGAAGGCCCAGUAGAAUUUUGCAAUUUAGUACGGGAGCAACUAAUUCACUAGGGUCAGCCAUGAUUACAAGCCCUUCUCCUCCACCUCCUACUACUUCAACAACAACAACUACAAAACCUACAAGCACAUCAACAACCAAGAACAACACCACCAACAAUUCAACAGAUACAACAUCAGCAAGCGCGACGAACUCGACGCCAACCUCUCCGAAAUCGGAGGACAACGCUACAUAUACGUCCCAUACAAAGUAAAGAUCUGAAAUGCCAGCGAACCCAAAAUGUCUUGAGCAACCAAACCGACCAUUUACGAAUUUCGAUCCUUAGUGAAAAGAAAGUCAAUUUCCCAAUACCGCGUAUACUGGCGUGAAUACAAUAACUCCAAACACGACAUAUGUGUACUGUAUAUAGAGCCACAGAUCAGUGCAUAUCAUUGUAGAGUAACUGGUUGUACCCUUGUACGAUAAUUUUUUGCCAACGCUCGCUCCUUUUACCUUAGCCGAAAUUACAGUACAGGAGACCGUACUUAAGUCUAUUCCGAAAUAUUAAUCUUGCUAUUGGCUUCAAACUUAAUUUCUUGCACUUACUCAACACAGAUAUCUGAACUAGCCCACCAAAUUUCGCUGUUUUACCGUUUCAGGAUGUUGUUAAUUGGUGAUGUGAUCGAUUGAUUUAGUGUCAGACAAUAUUUUGCUUUGCAAAAAGUAUGCUGGGCUACUGCAGUUCUUAAAUUUCGUUUGCAUUUUUAUUGACCUGUACCCAUUUUUUUGUAUAACAGUCCUAGUACAGUAAUAAAACAAGUAUGCGAUAGUAGAACAACCUAUUAAUUUAUAUUGUUCAUUGAUUUUUGUGGUUGUACUUCGUUUAAUAUAUACGUAUUGUAUAUGCGUAUUCAUCUUAUAUAUGCAUAAAAGUUUUGUAUGCUUUAUGUUCCAUAUUAGCACCCAGCCCCUUCCUAUCCAAUUAUAUAACCCAAUAUGCAAUGCAAUUUCUAAAAAAAACAAUUAACAAUUAAUGGAAUCUAUUACUCAAUAAUACCAUUGUGCUGUGUUUACUUGUUUGUGAGUAUUUCCAAUCGGAAAAACUUAAGAAAUUCAAACUAAAUCCCUAACUAUAACUGGUUAAUGAACAAACUAGAUUGGUAAACAAUUUGAUGAAAAAUUAUAUUUUUUAGCGGCGUCUCAAUUGAAUCUGAUUAAUUAAAUCCGAAACGAGCACAGAGCAAGAGCAAUUCACUAGCUACACUGUACUCUAAAUGCACAAACACACACCAUGUUUCUACACGCACACAAGCACACACUGACACCAAACUGUUAUACAAUUGAGAACACCUGUGAUAACUUUCCCUAGACACAAUUUCUAUGCCUAAGGUGUAUCUUUAAACGGCUUUAAUCACACGAACGAUGUAGACACAAUACCAGAGGAGUCGUCGUACCAGCAUGGACACUCCAAGUCCUUGUGUGAGCCGGCGGACUCGGAUGAAUGGGAGGGAGCA
This 5375-nucleotide unclassified non-coding RNA is filed under the name Drosophila yakuba. RNAcentral's name for it is "GE12897". The record is from RNAcentral. Lineage: Eukaryota; Metazoa; Arthropoda; Insecta; Diptera; Drosophilidae.